AGUGAACGCUGGCGGUAGGCCUAACACAUGCAAGUCGAACGGCGGCACAGGAGAGCUUGCUCUCUGGGUGGCGAGUGGCGGACGGGUGAGGAAUACAUCGGAAUCUACUUUUUCGUGGGGGAUAACGUAGGGAAACUUAUGCUAAUACCGCAUACGACCUACGGGUGAAAGCAGGGGACCUUCGGGCCUUGCGCGAUUGAAUGAGCCGAUGUCGGAUUAGCUAGUUGGCGGGGUAAAGGCCCACCAAGGCGACGAUCCGUAGCUGGUCUGAGAGGAUGAUCAGCCACACUGGAACUGGGACACGGUCCAGACUCCUACGGGAGGCAGCAGUGGGGAAUAUUGGACAAUGGGCGCAAGCCUGAUCCAGCCAUACCGCGUGGGUGAAGAAGGCCUUCGGGUUGUAAAGCCCUUUUGUUGGGAAAGAAAUCCAGCUGGCUAAUACCCGGUUGGGAUGACGGUACCCAAAGAAUAAGCACCGGCUAACUUCGUGCCAGCCGCCGCAGUAA
This 506-nucleotide ribosomal RNA is filed under the name uncultured bacterium. Its description in RNAcentral is "partial 16S ribosomal RNA". It matches the Rfam family "Bacterial small subunit ribosomal RNA", at positions 29 to 523 of the family's 1533-position model. The record is from RNAcentral.